UGCCUUGUGCAGUGGCAGUAUCAUAGCCAAUGAGGUUAAUCUGAGGUGUGAUUAUUGCUAGUUGAAAACUUUUCCUUUCAAGUCAAUCUAGUCCACUAAACAAAGCCCUUGCAACUUUAAAAGGCUGCAGUAUUGACAUCAAUAAAUGGGUCGGCAAACUUUGGUUCCUGGCCGUCAG
RNAcentral lists this small nuclear RNA (178 nucleotides) under Chrysemys picta bellii (western painted turtle). RNAcentral describes it as "U4 spliceosomal RNA (ENSCPBG00000007822.1)". The stretch from base 1 to 82 matches the Rfam family "U4 spliceosomal RNA". The record is from RNAcentral. Lineage: Eukaryota; Metazoa; Chordata; Testudines; Emydidae.